Molecule: ribosomal RNA, 253 nt
Filed under: uncultured bacterium
Lineage: Bacteria
Description: partial 16S ribosomal RNA
Rfam family: Bacterial small subunit ribosomal RNA
Source: RNAcentral
UACGUAGGGUGCGAGCGUUGUCCGGAAUUACUGGGCGUAAAGAGCUCGUAGGUGGUUUGUCGCGUUGUCCGUGAAAACUCACAGCUUAACUGUGGGCGUGCGGGCGAUACGGGCAGACUGGAGUACUGCAGGGGAGACUGGAAUUCCUGGUGUAGCGGUGAAAUGCGCAGAUAUCAGGAGGAACACCGGUGGCGAAGGCGGAUCUCUGGGCCUUACCUGACGCUGAGGCGCGAAAGCUAGGGGAGCAAACAGG